RNAcentral lists this ribosomal RNA (1265 nucleotides) under Enterococcus hirae. RNAcentral's name for it is "bacterial SSU rRNA". It matches the Rfam family "Bacterial small subunit ribosomal RNA", at positions 156 to 1408 of the family's 1533-position model. The record is from RNAcentral. Lineage: Bacteria; Bacillati; Bacillota; Bacilli; Lactobacillales; Enterococcaceae.
ACAGGUGCUAAUACCGUAUAACAAUCGAAACCGCAUGGUUUUGAUUUGAAAGGCGCUUUCGGGUGUCGCUGAUGGAUGGACCCGCGGUGCAUUAGCUAGUUGGUGAGGUAACGGCUCACCAAGGCGACGAUGCAUAGCCGACCUGAGAGGGUGAUCGGCCACAUUGGGACUGAGACACGGCCCAAACUCCUACGGGAGGCAGCAGUAGGGAAUCUUCGGCAAUGGACGAAAGUCUGACCGAGCAACGCCGCGUGAGUGAAGAAGGUUUUCGGAUCGUAAAACUCUGUUGUUAGAGAAGAACAAGGAUGAGAGUAACUGUUCAUCCCUUGACGGUAUCUAACCAGAAAGCCACGGCUAACUACGUGCCAGCAGCCGCGGUAAUACGUAGGUGGCAAGCGUUGUCCGGAUUUAUUGGGCGUAAAGCGAGCGCAGGCGGUUUCUUAAGUCUGAUGUGAAAGCCCCCGGCUCAACCGGGGAGGGUCAUUGGAAACUGGGAGACUUGAGUGCAGAAGAGGAGAGUGGAAUUCCAUGUGUAGCGGUGAAAUGCGUAGAUAUAUGGAGGAACACCAGUGGCGAAGGCGGCUCUCUGGUCUGUAACUGACGCUGAGGCUCGAAAGCGUGGGGAGCAAACAGGAUUAGAUACCCUGGUAGUCCACGCCGUAAACGAUGAGUGCUAAGUGUUGGAGGGUUUCCGCCCUUCAGUGCUGCAGCUAACGCAUUAAGCACUCCGCCUGGGGAGUACGACCGCAAGGUUGAAACUCAAAGGAAUUGACGGGGGCCCGCACAAGCGGUGGAGCAUGUGGUUUAAUUCGAAGCAACGCGAAGAACCUUACCAGGUCUUGACAUCCUUUGACCACUCUAGAGAUAGAGCUUCCCCUUCGGGGGCAAAGUGACAGGUGGUGCAUGGUUGUCGUCAGCUCGUGUCGUGAGAUGUUGGGUUAAGUCCCGCAACGAGCGCAACCCUUAUUGUUAGUUGCCAUCAUUUAGUUGGGCACUCUAGCAAGACUGCCGGUGACAAACCGGAGGAAGGUGGGGAUGACGUCAAAUCAUCAUGCCCCUUAUGACCUGGGCUACACACGUGCUACAAUGGGAAGUACAACGAGUCGCAAAGUCGCGAGGCUAAGCUAAUCUCUUAAAGCUUCUCUCAGUUCGGAUUGUAGGCUGCAACUCGCCUACAUGAAGCCGGAAUCGCUAGUAAUCGCGGAUCAGCACGCCGCGGUGAAUACGUUCCCGGGCCUUGUACACACCGCCCGUCACACCACGAG